RNAcentral lists this ribosomal RNA (411 nucleotides) under uncultured eukaryote. RNAcentral describes it as "bacterial SSU rRNA". It matches the Rfam family "Eukaryotic small subunit ribosomal RNA", at positions 592 to 1018 of the family's 1831-position model. The record is from RNAcentral.
CAAUAGCGUAUAUUAAAGUUGUUGCAGUUAAAAAGCUCGUAGUUGAACUUCUGGCGGUUGUCUUCGCUGGCUUCGGUCGCGUUGAUGGCUGUCAUCCGCUUGGGAACCUCAUUCGGUCUUCAUUGGUCGGUGGGAGGAUCAGGCAUUUUACUUUGAAAAAUUAGAGUGUUCAAAGCAGGCUUAUGCCGUUGAAUAUAUUAGCAUGGAAUAAUGAGAUAGGACUUUUUUGCUAUUUUGUUGGUUUGCGCAAAGAGGUAAUGAUUAAUAGGGACAGUUGGGGGUAUUCGUAUUCCAUUGUCAGAGGUGAAAUUCUUGGAUUUUUGGAAGACGAACUACUGCGAAAGCAUUUACCAAGGAUGUUUUCAUUAAUCAAGAACGAAAGUUAGGGGAUCGAAGACGAUCAGAUACCGU